AGAGCGAACGCUGGCGGCAGGCCUAACACAUGCAAGUCGAACGAAUCCUUCGGGAUUAGUGGCGGACGGGUGAGUAACACGUGGGAACGUGCCCUUUGGUUCGGAACAACUCAGGGAAACUUGAGCUAAUACCGGAUAAGCCCUACGGGGGAAGAUUUAUCGCCAUUGGAGCGGCCCGCGUCUGAUUAGCUAGUUGGUGAGGUAAAGGCUCACCAAGGCAACGAUCAGUAGCUGGUCUGAGAGGAUGAUCAGCCACAUUGGGACUGAGACACGGCCCAAACUCCUACGGGAGGCAGCAGUGGGGAAUCUUGCGCAAUGGGCGAAAGCCUGACGCAGCCAUGCCGCGUGAAUGAUGAAGGUCUUAGGAUUGUAAAAUUCUUUCAGCAGGGACGAUAAUGACGGUACCUGCAGAAGAAGCCCGGCUAACUUCGUCGCCAGCAGCCGC
RNAcentral lists this ribosomal RNA (445 nucleotides) under uncultured bacterium. RNAcentral's name for it is "SSU rRNA". It matches the Rfam family "Bacterial small subunit ribosomal RNA", at positions 26 to 518 of the family's 1533-position model. The record is from RNAcentral.